This 1618-nucleotide ribosomal RNA is filed under the name Escherichia coli. RNAcentral describes it as "bacterial LSU rRNA". It matches the Rfam family "Bacterial large subunit ribosomal RNA", at positions 1327 to 2925 of the family's 2925-position model. The record is from RNAcentral. Lineage: Bacteria; Pseudomonadati; Pseudomonadota; Gammaproteobacteria; Enterobacterales; Enterobacteriaceae.
AGCCCGCUCGCCGGAAGACCAAGGGUUCCUGUCCAACGUUAAUCGGGGCAGGGUGAGUCGACCCCUAAGGCGAGGCCGAAAGGCGUAGUCGAUGGGAAACAGGUUAAUAUUCCUGUACUUGGUGUUACUGCGAAGGGGGGACGGAGAAGGCUAUGUUGGCCGGGCGACGGUUGUCCCGGUUUAAGCGUGUAGGCUGGUUUUCCAGGCAAAUCCGGAAAACCAAGGCUGAGGCGUGAUGACGAGGCACUACGGUGCUGAAGCGACAAAUGCCCUGCUUCCAGGAAAAGCCUCUAAGCAUCAGGUAACAUCAAAUCGUACCCCAAACCGACACAGGUGGUCAGGUAGAGAAUACCAAGGCGCUUGAGAGAACUCGGGUGAAGGAACUAGGCAAAAUGGUGCCGUAACUUCGGGAGAAGGCACGCUGAUAUGUAGGUGAAGCGACUUGCUCGUGGAGCUGAAAUCAGUCGAAGAUACCAGCUGGCUGCAACUGUUUAUUAAAAACACAGCACUGUGCAAACACGAAAGUGGACGUAUACGGUGUGACGCCUGCCCGGUGCCGGAAGGUUAAUUGAUGGGGUUAGCGGCAACGCGAAGCUCUUGAUCGAAGCCCCGGUAAACGGCGGCCGUAACUAUAACGGUCCUAAGGUAGCGAAAUUCCUUGUCGGGUAAGUUCCGACCUGCACGAAUGGCGUAAUGAUGGCCAGGCUGUCUCCACCCGAGACUCAGUGAAAUUGAACUCGCUGUGAAGAUGCAGUGUACCCGCGGCAAGACGGAAAGACCCCGUGAACCUUUACUAUAGCUUGACACUGAACAUUGAGCCUUGAUGUGUAGGAUAGGUGGGAGGCUUUGAAGUGUGGACGCCAGUCUGCAUGGAGCCGACCUUGAAAUACCACCCUUUAAUGUUUGAUGUUCUAACGUUGGCCCGUAAUCCGGGUUGCGGACAGUGUCUGGUGGGUAGUUUGACUGGGGCGGUCUCCUCCUAAAGAGUAACGGAGGAGCACGAAGGUUGGCUAAUCCUGGUCGGACAUCAGGAGGUUAGUGCAAUGGCAUAAGCCAGCUUGACUGCGAGCGUGACGGCGCGAGCAGGUGCGAAAGCAGGUCAUAGUGAUCCGGUGGUUCUGAAUGGAAGGGCCAUCGCUCAACGGAUAAAAGGUACUCCGGGGAUAACAGGCUGAUACCGCCCAAGAGUUCAUAUCGACGGCGGUGUUUGGCACCUCGAUGUCGGCUCAUCACAUCCUGGGGCUGAAGUAGGUCCCAAGGGUAUGGCUGUUCGCCAUUUAAAGUGGUACGCGAGCUGGGUUUAGAACGUCGUGAGACAGUUCGGUCCCUAUCUGCCGUGGGCGCUGGAGAACUGAGGGGGGCUGCUCCUAGUACGAGAGGACCGGAGUGGACGCAUCACUGGUGUUCGGGUUGUCAUGCCAAUGGCACUGCCCGGUAGCUAAAUGCGGAAGAGAUAAGUGCUGAAAGCAUCUAAGCACGAAACUUGCCCCGAGAUGAGUUCUCCCUGAGACUUAGAGUCUCCUGAAGGAACGUUGAAGACGACGACGUUGAUAGGCCGGGUGUGUAAGCGCAGCGAUGCGUUGAGCUAACCGGUACUAAUGAACCGUGAGGCUUAACC